RNAcentral lists this ribosomal RNA (433 nucleotides) under uncultured bacterium. RNAcentral describes it as "partial 16S ribosomal RNA". It matches the Rfam family "Bacterial small subunit ribosomal RNA", at positions 29 to 507 of the family's 1533-position model. The record is from RNAcentral.
AACGAACGCUGGCGGCAGGCCUAACACAUGCAAGUCGAGCGGAGCCUUCGUGGUUAGCGGCGGACGGGUGAGUAACGCCUGGGAAUAUGCCCUUCUGUACGGAAUCGUCCUCGGAAACUGGGGGUAAUACCGCAUACGCUAUUUGCGGGUAGGAUUUAUCGGGGCAGGAUUAGGCCGCGUUGGGUUCGGUAGUUGGUGGGGUAAUGGCCUACCAAGCCGACGAUCCUUAGCUGGUGUGAGAGGAUGAUCAGCCACACUGGGACUGAGACACGGCCCAGACUCCUACGGGAGGCAGCAGUGGGGAAUCUUAGACAAUGGGGGCAACCCUGAUCUAGCCAUGCCGCGUGAGUGAUGAAGGCCUUAGGGUUGUAAAGCUCUUUCAGCUGGGAAGAUAAUGACGGUACCAGCAGAAGAAGCCCCGGCUAACUCCGUG